Molecule: transfer RNA, 74 nt
Filed under: Guillardia theta
Lineage: Eukaryota; Cryptophyceae; Pyrenomonadales; Geminigeraceae
Description: tRNA-Met
Rfam family: tRNA
About the family: Transfer RNA (tRNA) molecules are approximately 80 nucleotides in length. Their secondary structure includes four short double-helical elements and three loops (D, anti-codon, and T loops).
Source: RNAcentral
AGCGAUUUAGUUCAGUAGGUUAGAACUAUAGAAUCAUAAUCUAUGUGCCGUGAGUUCAAGUCUCACUAUCGCUA